Molecule: non-coding RNA, 279 nt
Organism: Theobroma cacao (cacao)
Lineage: Eukaryota; Viridiplantae; Streptophyta; Magnoliopsida; Malvales; Malvaceae
Source: RefSeq, a predicted model, not a curated record
UUUUUGUUGAUCUUUAUGCCUCCAAACUCACCAAGGUUUUAAUGGUUUUUCGAGACUACUUGGAUUAAGAUCUUGUGGGUGCUAUUCUUGUUAGGUGGCAUUAUCAAGAUUAAUAGAUAAUGGAGGUGUGUGGCAAGGGUUGUCAAUAGACAGACUAGUUUUGGCAUUUGAUAGGUCCCUUAUUUUGAUCACUCCGUUGAGUCCAUUAUGAGCAUUCGCAUAAGGUUGGCUUCGAUGUAUGUAGGCAUGAUGUGCCAUUUGAACUUGUGCAAGGGUCAA